This 163-nucleotide microRNA precursor is filed under the name Marmota monax (woodchuck). The record is from RNAcentral. Lineage: Eukaryota; Metazoa; Chordata; Mammalia; Rodentia; Sciuridae.
AGCAUGGUGGUGAUCUCUCCCUCCCAGGCAACUGCAACUGAGUUUUGAUUGAUUCCACUUUUACAAGGCUCAAUAAGCCCAAGAUGCUAAUGGAGCCUUGUAAAAGUGGAAUCAAUCAAAACUCAGUUGCAGUUGCCUGGGAGGGAGAGAUCACCACCAUGCU